RNAcentral lists this ribosomal RNA (252 nucleotides) under uncultured bacterium. RNAcentral's name for it is "partial 16S ribosomal RNA". It matches the Rfam family "Bacterial small subunit ribosomal RNA", at positions 524 to 776 of the family's 1533-position model. The record is from RNAcentral.
UACGUAGGGAGCGAGCGUUGUCCGGAAUUACUGGGUGUAAAGGGAGCGUAGGCGGGGAUGCAAGUUGGGUGUGAAAACUACCGGCUCAACCGAUAGUGGCACUCAAAACUGCAACUCUUGAGUGAAGUAGAGGCAGGCGGAAUUCCUAGUGUAGCGGUGAAAUGCGUAGAUAUUAGGAGGAACACCAGUGGCGAAGGCGGCCUGCUGGGCUUUUACUGACGCUGAGGCUCGAAAGUGUGGGGAGCAAACAGG